Molecule: unclassified non-coding RNA, 230 nt
Filed under: uncultured bacterium
Lineage: Bacteria
Description: partial contains 16S ribosomal RNA and 16S-23S ribosomal RNA intergenic spacer region
Source: RNAcentral
ACUCCUACGGGAGGCAGCAGUGGGACUCCUACGGGAGGCAGCAGUGGGACUCCUACGGGAGGCAGCAGUGGGACUCCUACGGGAGGCAGCAGUGGGCCCCACUCCUACGGGAGGCAGCAGUGGGACUCCUACGGGAGCGAGCAGUGGGGCAGUUGGCUCAGAACGAACGCUGGCGGCUGGCUACGCACGAACGCGAACGGCUGGCUCAGAAAUCAGGCUGGCUGACUUUC